UCUGUCUCUGCUCCCCCUCCCCAGCGCACUACAAUGAGACCGGGGCUGGAAUAUGAUGUCAUAUUCCGGCCCCAGUCUCACUGUAGUGCGCUGGGGAGGGGGAGCAGAGACAGAACAGC
This is a non-coding RNA of Pelobates cultripes (western spadefoot toad), 119 nucleotides long. Lineage: Eukaryota; Metazoa; Chordata; Amphibia; Anura; Pelobatidae. The record is from the annotation of a GenBank genome assembly.